Molecule: ribosomal RNA, 869 nt
Filed under: uncultured crenarchaeote
Lineage: Archaea; Thermoproteati; Thermoproteota
Description: bacterial SSU rRNA
Rfam family: Archaeal small subunit ribosomal RNA
Source: RNAcentral
CCGGUUGAUCCUGCCGGACCUGACUGCUAUCGGAUUGAUACUAAGCCAAGCGAGUCAUUGUAGCAAUACAAGGCAGACGGCUCAGUAACGCGUAGUCAACCUAACCUAUGGACGGGAAUAACCUCGGGAAACUGAGAAUAAUGCCCGAUAGAACAUUAUGCCUGGAAUGGUUUAUGUUUCAAAUGAUUUAUCGCCGUAGGAUGGGACUGCGGCCUAUCAGUUUGUUGGUGAGGUAAUGGCCCACCAAGACUAUUACAGGUACGGGCUCUGAGAGGAGUAGCCCGGAGAUGGGUACUGAGACACGGACCCAGGCCCUAUGGGGCGCAGCAGGCGAGAAAACUUUGCAAUGUGCGAAAGCACGACAAGGUUAAUCCGAGUGAUUUGUGCUAAACGAAUCUUUUGUUAGUCCUAGAAACACUAACGAAUAAGGGGUGGGCAAGUUCUGGUGUCAGCCGCCGCGGUAAAACCAGCACCUCAAGUGGUCAGGAUGAUUAUUGGGCCUAAAGCAUCCGUAGCCGGCUCUGUAAGUUUUCGGUUAAAUCUGUACGCUUAACGUACAGGCUGCCGGGAAUACUGCAUAGCUAGGAAGUGGCAGAGGUAGACGGUACUCGGUAGGAAGGGGUAAAAUCCUUUGAUCUAUUGAUGACCACCUGUGGCGAAGGCGGUCUACCAGAACACGUUCGACGGUGAGGGAUGAAAGCUGGGGGAGCAAACCGGAUUAGAUACCCGGGUAGUCCCAGCUGUAAACUAUGCAAACUCAGUGAUGCAUUGGCUUGUGGCCAAUGCAGUGCUGCAGGGAAGCCGUUAAGUUUGCCGCCUGGGAAGUACGUACGCAAGUAUGAAACUUAAAGGAAUUGGCGGGGGAGCAC